Erinaceus europaeus (western European hedgehog) is the source of this 111-nucleotide ribosomal RNA. Lineage: Eukaryota; Metazoa; Chordata; Mammalia; Eulipotyphla; Erinaceidae. The record is from Ensembl.
CUCUACAGUCAAACCACUCUGAAUACACCAGGUCUCAUCUGAUCUUGGAAGCUAAGCAGGGUCCGGCCUGGUUAGUACUUGGAUAGGAGAACAAAAACAUCAAGAAAGAGG